AAGGAUUUAAGUUAAAAACUCAAACUAAUAACCUUCAAAGUUGUAAAUAGACAAACUCUAAGCCUUA
This 67-nucleotide transfer RNA is filed under the name Cucujoidea sp. 26 KM-2017. Its description in RNAcentral is "tRNA-Trp". The record is from RNAcentral. Lineage: Eukaryota; Metazoa; Arthropoda; Insecta; Coleoptera.